Long non-coding RNA from Phascolarctos cinereus (koala), 336 nucleotides. RefSeq lists it as uncharacterized. The record is from RefSeq and is a predicted model, not a curated record. Lineage: Eukaryota; Metazoa; Chordata; Mammalia; Diprotodontia; Phascolarctidae.
CUAUGCUUCUCAGGGUGGAGGAUGUGCUGUCCCAAGCGUCAGGAGCUUUGUACAGCUGUGGACUUAUAUUUCCUUAAAGAGAUCAAGGAUGUCAAGGCCAACAAUCCAGAAUUUUGAGGUGCCCCAGAUAUUGAACAAGGCAACAGUACUGCUCGACAUACCAGUGAUCCUUUGGGAGAUUGCUGUUGAAACCACAAGGCUGAACCCAUUAUGAGGUGCUCUGCUGUUUUUCGAUAUUGGAAAGUCCCAGCUGCUUCAACAUCCCGGUUACACACACAUAGGGGGAAAAAUGCAAGGUUUCAUGCUCUUGGAAACGAUUAUUGAGAAUAAACUAAU